Molecule: ribosomal RNA, 500 nt
Filed under: uncultured bacterium
Lineage: Bacteria
Description: partial 16S ribosomal RNA
Rfam family: Bacterial small subunit ribosomal RNA
Source: RNAcentral
AUUGAACGCUGGCGGCAUGCCUUACACAUGCAAGUCGAACGGUAACAGGGUGCUUGCACCGCCGACGAGUGGCGAACGGGUGAGUAAUGCGUCGGAACGCACCGAGUAAUGGGGGAUAACGCAGCGAAAGCUGUGCUAAUACCGCAUACGCUCUGAGGAGGAAAGCGGGGGACCUUCGGGCCUCGCGUUAUUCGAGCGGCCGACGUCUGAUUAGCCAGUAGGUGAGGUAAGAGCUCACCUAGGCGACGAUCAGUAGCGGGUCGGAGAGGAUGUUCCGCGACACUGGAGCUGAGGCACGGCCCUGACUCCUACGUGAGGAAGCAUGGAGGAAUGUUGGAGAAUGGGCGCAAGCCUGAUCCCGCCAGGCCGGGUGUCGGAAGAAGGCCUUCGGGUUGUAAAGGACUUUUGUCAGGGAGGAAAUCCUUAUCGCUAAUACCGUUGAGGGAUGACAGUACCUGAAGAAUAAGCACCGGCUAACUACGUGCCAGCCGCCGCCGUAA